Molecule: ribosomal RNA, 205 nt
Filed under: uncultured bacterium
Lineage: Bacteria
Description: partial 16S ribosomal RNA
Rfam family: Bacterial small subunit ribosomal RNA
Source: RNAcentral
AGCGUAGACGGCUGUGCAAGUCUGAAGUGAAAGGCAUGGGCUCAACCUGUGGACUGCUUUGGAAACUGUGCAGCUAGAGUGUCGGAGAGGUAAGUGGAAUUCCUAGUGUAGCGGUGAAAUGCGUAGAUAUUAGGAGGAACACCAGUGGCGAAGGCGGCUUACUGGACGAUGACUGACGUUGAGGCUCGAAGCGUGGGAGCAAACA